ACUCCUACGGGAGGCAGCAGUGGGGAAUAUUGCACAAUGGGGAAACCCUGAUGCAGCCAUGCCGCGUGUGUGAAGAAGGCCUUCGGUUGUAAAGCACUUCAGUAGGGAGGAAGGUAGUGUAGUUAACACCUGCACUAUUUGACGUUACCUACAGAAGAAGCACCGGCUAACUCCGUGCCAGCAGCCGCGGUAAUACGGAGGGGUGCGAGCGUUAAUCGGAAUUACUGGGCGUAAAGCGCAUGCAGGCGGCCUGUUAAGUCAGAUGUGAAAGCCCGGGGGCUUAACCUCGGAAUUGCAUUUGAAACUGGCAGGCUAGAGUCUUGUAGAGGGGGUAGGAAUUUCAGGUGUAGCGGUGAAAUGCGUAGAGAUCUGAAGGAAUACCAGUGGCGAAGGCGGCCCCCUGGACAAAGACUGACGCUCAGAUGCGAAAGCGUGGGGAGCGAAACAGGAUUAGAUACCCUGGUAGCACAGAG
RNAcentral lists this ribosomal RNA (473 nucleotides) under uncultured bacterium. RNAcentral's name for it is "bacterial SSU rRNA". It matches the Rfam family "Bacterial small subunit ribosomal RNA", at positions 335 to 799 of the family's 1533-position model. The record is from RNAcentral.